This 155-nucleotide ribosomal RNA is filed under the name leaf litter ascomycete strain its118. RNAcentral describes it as "5.8S ribosomal RNA". It matches the Rfam family "5.8S ribosomal RNA". Rfam says of the family: 5.8S ribosomal RNA (5.8S rRNA) is a component of the large subunit of the eukaryotic ribosome. Lineage: Eukaryota; Fungi; Ascomycota. The record is from RNAcentral.
AACUUUCAACAACGGAUCUCUUGGUUCUCGCAUNNAUGANNNACGCAGCGAAAUGCGAUAAGUAAUGUGAAUUGCAGAAUUCAGUGAAUCAUCGAAUCUUUGAACGCACAUNGCGCCCCUUGGUAUUCCGAGGGGCAUGCCUGUUCGAGCGUCAU